This is a long non-coding RNA of Pongo pygmaeus (Bornean orangutan), 1936 nucleotides long. RefSeq lists it as uncharacterized. The transcript has 3 exons. The record is from RefSeq and is a predicted model, not a curated record. NCBI's taxonomy places the organism in Eukaryota, Metazoa, Chordata, Mammalia, Primates, Hominidae.
AUUUGAUAAGAAAGACUGAAAACCAUAAGCAGACUGAAAAGUGCCAAGGCUUUAUCUAGAUCUUGGACAAGAACUUUAACCUCAUGUUUCUUGUUUGCAAUAUUGGGACAAUACUUGUUACAGAUUGAAUUGCAUCCCCCAAUAAUUCAUUUAUUGACUUAACCUGCAGUGUGACUGUAUUUGGAAACAGGGCCUCUAAGAAGGUAACGGUUAAAUGAGCUCAUAGAAGGUGGGGCCCUAAUCUGGUGUCCUUGUAAGAAGAGGAAGAGAUACCAGAGAUCUUUUCCUCUGUGCACACACAGAGGAAAGGCCAUGCAAAGACACAGUGAGAAGGUGGACGUCUGCAAGCUAGGAAGGGAGGUUUUACCAGAAAUAGAAUUUUCUGGCAUCUUGACCUUAGACUUCUUGCCUCCAGAACUGUGAGAAAAUAAAAAUGUCUGUGGUUUAAGCCCUCCAGUCUGUGGUACUUUGUGAUGGCAGCCUGAGCACACUAGUAUAAUACCUAUUCUGUGGGUUUACGGUGAGAAUGAAACAUAAGAAAAUCUUUGCACACUCUGAGAUCAUGCACAAGUUAAUGACUUUGAGGGACGAAGAAGUAAAAUGUUUUUGUUGGAUUUGAGAUUGUGACGCAGUGAGGCUGAGCCAGAUACGAAGACAGAAAGCAGAUAGACUUGUAGGGCUGGCCUUGAGAUGGGGCACUGCCACAAGAGCUAGGGAAGAAGCACAGCUAAACCAGAACCACAGCUGGAACCCAGGUCUCCUGGAUUGAACUGUCCCCGCCCCUGCCCCUGCCCCUGACACCAGUCCAGCAAAGAAAGACCUGAGGGGUGCUGGUGAUGAGUGAUGGCUGCUCUGCCUCAGGCUGAAGAUAGAAGCAGCCUAUCUCAGGUGGGUGGAAAUUUUCCUUUCUUCCUUUGGCCAUGGGCAAAGUGAUAUGCCCUGGUCUGCAGCAGCAGAGACUUCAGGAAGCCCACACACAUCAAGCGGCCAAAGCGGACCAGUGUCAGCAGGGGGAAAUCAGAGGGACUUCCCCCAAGUCCUUCCUGUCAAAGAAAGAAGCAUGAGAGGCCUUCAUGAAGGUGAAAACCACACAUUAAGGACUAGUCCAGACUGGGUACAUGUCUCCCCAGUGCAGCUGCUACCCCUUGGGUUUUACCCCAGGACACUGGGUUCCGUCCUGUCAUGGUGGUCAGUGCUGGAAAGCUGGGGUUUAAAGCUGUACACACAGCUUCAGGCAAGUCCUAGGCCAAAGUUGAGUCCAAGGAGCACCAAGGUCUUCUCACUAGCAGCAGGUAGGAAAUGAUGGACAUUGGGUGAUAACCUGGAGGCCAGUGACAUGGUGAGACCACUUCUGACUCCCUCAUUUCCCAUCUCUUACAUCACAUCUCCACCACGUGGGCUCACUUAGACAUGCUCACAACUAUUAAGGUACCACUGGGGGCUUCCUAUGACCAAGUCCCUUUAAAUAUCUUUUGAAUGUUCCCUCCCAUUGUGAGAGGAAGGUAGUAAUAAGGUGGUAGCAAAAUAGAAUGUUGACACCCAUUUACGACUUUUAUGUGAGAAGAAGAAAUGGGGAGUUGAUGAGUGAGUGUAUGGAGAACCAGGGAGUGAGUGAAUGUGUAUAUAUAUAUAUAUUUACUUUUCUGGGCCCCAGUAACCUUCUCCCUUGAAUUCCUGUUGAACCGCAAAUUUAGAGCUUCUUUGUAGGUUAGUCUGGUGAUUCACUGUUGGUUUGUGGGUGUCAGACAUGCAACUGUGACAGCUGUCAUCAUCUUCUGUUUAUGCUGGAUUGUGGACUUCUUAAGAUCAAGGCCUGUGUCUUUUUUUAUUUUUUAUUUUUAAAUUGAGGCAGUGUCACACUCUGUCACCCAGGCUGGAGUGCAGUGGUGCAAUCACGGCUUACUGUAGCUUCAACCUCCAAGGCUCAGGUGAUCCU